This 489-nucleotide ribosomal RNA is filed under the name uncultured bacterium. RNAcentral's name for it is "partial 16S ribosomal RNA". It matches the Rfam family "Bacterial small subunit ribosomal RNA", at positions 28 to 507 of the family's 1533-position model. The record is from RNAcentral.
GAUGAACGCUAGCUACAGGCUUAACACAUGCAAGUCGAGGGGCAGCAUGAACUUAGCUUGCUCAGUUUGAUGGCGACCGGCGCACGGGUGAGUAACACGUAUCCAACCUGCCGAUGACUCGGGGAUAGCCUUUCGAAAGAAAGAUUAAUACCCGAUGGCAUAGUUCUUCCGCAUGGUAGAACUAUUAAAGAAUUUCGGUCAUCGAUGGGGAUGCGUUCCAUUAGGUUGUUGGCGGGGUAACGGCCCACCAAGCCUUCGAUGGAUAGGGGUUCUGAGAGGAAGGUCCCCCACAUUGGAACUGAGACACGGUCCAAACUCCUACGGGAGGCAGCAGUGAGGAAUAUUGGUGUAUGGACGAGAGUCUGAACCAGCCAAGUAGCGUGAAGGAUGACUGCCCUAUGGGUUGUAAACUUCUUUUAUACGAGAAUAAAGUGAGGCACGUGUGCCUUUUUGAAUGUACCGUAUGAAUAAGGAUCGGCUAACCCCGUG